RNAcentral lists this ribosomal RNA (464 nucleotides) under uncultured bacterium. RNAcentral describes it as "partial 16S ribosomal RNA". It matches the Rfam family "Bacterial small subunit ribosomal RNA", at positions 28 to 507 of the family's 1533-position model. The record is from RNAcentral.
GACGAACGCUGGCGGCGUGCUUAACGCAUGCAAGUCGAACGGAAAGGCCCAGCUUGCUGGGUGCUCGAGUGGCGAACGGGUGAGUAACACGUGGGUGAUCUGCCUCUAACUUCGGGAUAAGCUUGGGAAACUGGGUCUAAUACCGGAUAGGACAAUCGUUUAGUGUCGGUUGUGGAAAGUUUUUUCGGUUAGGGAUGAGCCCGCGGCCUAUCAGCUUGUUGGUGGGGUAAUGGCCUACCAAGGCGUCGACGGGUAGCCGGCCUGAGAGGGUGGACGGCCACAUUGGGACUGAGAUACGGCCCAGACUCCUACGGGAGGCAGCAGUGGGGAAUAUUGCACAAUGGGAGCAAGCCUGAUGCAGCGACGCCGCGUGGGGGAUGACGGCCUUCGGGUUGUAAACCUCUUUCGACAGGGACGAAGCUUUGGUGACGGUACCUGUAUAAGAAGCACCGGCUAACUACGUG